This is a long non-coding RNA of Gavialis gangeticus (Gharial), 1895 nucleotides long. RefSeq lists it as uncharacterized. The transcript is spliced from 2 exons. Lineage: Eukaryota; Metazoa; Chordata; Crocodylia; Gavialidae. The record is from RefSeq and is a predicted model, not a curated record.
CAUUUUUUUUCAAAGAUGAGUGCAUAAUCUGUGUACCUAAUUUCUAUGAACAAAUGGUCCAACUGCCUGCAGACUGUGUGCAUAAAAACUAUCUCUAAGUAGCCAUGCCUGUGCCAAAUGCUAGAUCUGAACAAGUAGAAAUUAAACUUGCAUGUGCAAUUUGUUUACAUCCAUCUUUGAAAUCUAACUCUCAAUGAGUUAAUCUGAAAACCAGAUAAAUAGUGCAUUCCUAUGCAGAGAAGUAUAGAAGAAAAGACCUGUUAUGUCAUACUUAUUCCCCAAUGCCAAUGCACGAUGAUUUCCUACAUUUUAUUCUUAAUGUUUUUUUACCAUCAUCAAAAUACAGGGCUAGAAGGGGCUUCCUGGGUCAUGAUCUAGUCUCCUACAAUUUCAAGCAGCCAUGUCAUUAUCUGGAUCACAUUUAUUUAGUUCCAUUUUAGAACUGGUUAGAUUUUUGCUCUCCUUGCUUUUAAUAACAGGCUGUUCCAAAGCCUCUCUUCUCUGAAGAUUAGCCAUCAUCUUCACGUGUACAUACUAAUUAGUGGGAUGAAUAAAGAGUAGGUAACAGUGAAACAGAUGGCAGUCAAGGUUACAAAGUUAAGCAGGGUAACCUAUUUUGCGUGCAGGACAGAUUGAAAAGAAACUGGUCAAAGCUUGGUCACAUGUUCACUUAAAGCCUCUCUCCAGUCCUACAGUUAGCAAUCUAGAUUAUUGUUCAAGGAUUGACACUUCUUGGUAACAAAAUUUAAGUACUAAGAUCUAGCAUGCUGUUAAAUUAUAGAAAGCACUAGGAAACGUGCUGGACACUGCUUUUGUAGUGACAGAAGACAGGCUUUUCCCUUGCUGUGGCAGCAGACUGCAGGUGUUUUAUAUUUUCUUUUUGAAUGGCUGCACAGAAUGAACUGGUGAAUUGUAACCUGAAAUCAAAAUAUUAGCAGAAAUCCAGUACUGAGUACCAAGCUCAGGCUCUUGUGCAUGGAUAAUUAAAGCAUGGUACACAUUUCAAAAUCCCACAACAAUUUCUUUAAGGAAUAUGUGUAUCCAAUAUUCUAUCUGCAAAUGCAUUAUCAGUUAUACCAUUGGUUAUUUUAUUCGUGUUUAAUUAAAUCUUCAGCUUGUGCAAGAUGUCAUACUGACAUCCCUAGAAACUGCAAGCUGACGCACAAGAUGGAUACAGUACAGAUCUCUGGGCACUAUUUCUGUUGGAAAGAAGAAAGCAUUCACUGUAACCUACUAGAAAUACAUGCGUCACAUAUGGGAAGGCAACCUAUGAGCAUGUCAAAAUUCUGCUCAUCUGAGGGGCAGAACCAUAGGGCACUAAAAGCAUGCAGGUUACAUGGCAUUUGCAUAAAGGGAGCAAAUUGCAACCACCUUUGUCUUUCAUAAAGAACCACAGCCCCUACAAAGGGGAGCACUGCAAUGCUAGAACUGAUGCUCCCUGUCAGGCAAACAAUCAUAUAGAUGAGGACCACCAAAAAGUCACAUUUGAGUACUGUGCACUGUAUUUUAGCUCCCCCUGGUUCUGGUGUAUCACUUUAAAUUCAAUGACACUUAGAAACUUGUAGCAACUUCAGUAGUACCAACAGUCCACAGCUAUACCUGUGGUUGAUGUUUAGGCUGCCUUCCUUUUUUGGCUGUUUCAUGCACCUUUUUAGCUACAGGCACCACCACUGCUGUCAGCAAUGGUAUACUAAGUGUGGAACGCAAAACUUGGAUCAAUAUGAUGACAGGAAACAUUGAAACAGUAUGUGUUUUCUCUAGCAGUAAAUAAAGUUCACAGGAAAAGAAUAUUCCAAGCAAAUUGCUCUGCCCUACCCUUGUGGUUUGCUUCCCUGCAUUCUGUGUUCAGGAGAUGGCAAAGUGAAACUGGUUUACUGAAAUCCACUUAAGCCUCA